AACCAUUCUAUGUCAAAUUUCUAAAAACUUAAAAGAUUGAUCUGACAUAAAGAGGAGGGAUGAGAAUAAUUAGGCUUGAUGGCAAAAGAACAAAGGGAUGCCAUUUUAAUGGAUAUUUGACAAUGAUAGACAACUCUAAAGAGUAGUUGACAGCCAUUUAGCCAAUAAUUGACAUUCGCAUCUGUAGUCCAAAAAUAUUGGUAAUAUUAGGUUAAAUAUGCCAAACAAGGGAAAAGGGGUCUAUUUUGUGCCAAUCUUUUACCCGAGUGGCAUAUAAUUUGUCAAAGCUUGUCCAAUGGCAGGCCUUCUCUUCAUCUCUACUGAUAAAAUUGCUUUCUGUAGUGAGCGAUCAAUAAAACUCUUAUCUCCAACUGGAAAGUUGCUAAAAAUCUGUUACAAGGUAUCGAUCCCAAUAAGUAAAAUAAAGAAAGCACAAGAGAGUGGGAAUAUGGAAAAGCGAUCACAGAAGUAUAUACAAGUAGUUACAGCGGAUGAUUUUGACUUAUGAUUUAUGGGAUUCCUUAAUCAUCAAAAGACUCUGCAGCAGGCAAUUUCCAGUUCUUCAAGCAAGCUAAGAAGAUAACUUUUUCUCCUUUUCUUUUUCAUUUUGUUUCCAAAUUCGCCUUUCAUCAAUGUAAAAUGUUGAUGCAAAACGAAUUGGAUCUGUUCAAACUUGUAACUAGCUCCAUUUUUCCGAGGUUUUCGGUUUUGUAGGCUGAGCCUUGGGCGUUAAUAUGUACAGAUUUAUUGUAAAACUAAUGUAAACUGAAGGCUAAUUCAUGUUUUGGGA
Long non-coding RNA from Nicotiana tabacum (common tobacco), 790 nucleotides. RefSeq lists it as uncharacterized. The record is from RefSeq and is a predicted model, not a curated record. Lineage: Eukaryota; Viridiplantae; Streptophyta; Magnoliopsida; Solanales; Solanaceae.